Molecule: ribosomal RNA, 459 nt
Filed under: uncultured bacterium
Lineage: Bacteria
Description: partial 16S ribosomal RNA
Rfam family: Bacterial small subunit ribosomal RNA
Source: RNAcentral
CCUACGGGUGGCAGCAGUGAGGAAUAUUGGUCAAUGGCCGGGAGGCUGAACCAGCCAAGUCGCGUGAGGGAAGACGGCCCUACGGGUUGUAAACCUCUUUUGUCAGGGAGCAAGGUGCAGGUCGGGACCUGCUGUGCGAGUACCUGAAGAAAAAGCAUCGGCUAACUCCGUGCCAGCAGCCGCGGUAAUACGGAGGAUGCGAGCGUUAUCCGGAUUUAUUGGGUUUAAAGGGUGCGUAGGCGGAAUAUCAAGUCAGCGGUAAAAAUUCGGGGCUCAACCCCGUCGUGCCGUUGAAACUGAUGGUCUUGAGUGGGCGAGAAGUAUGCGGAAUGCGUGGUGUAGCGGUGAAAUGCAUAGAUAUCACGCAGAACUCCGAUUGCGAAGGCAGCAUACCGGCGCCCAACUGACGCUGAAGCACGAAAGCGUGGGGAUCGAACAGGAUUAGAUACCCGUGUAGUC